Helianthus annuus (common sunflower) is the source of this 437-nucleotide long non-coding RNA. RefSeq lists it as uncharacterized. NCBI's taxonomy places the organism in Eukaryota, Viridiplantae, Streptophyta, Magnoliopsida, Asterales, Asteraceae. The transcript is spliced from 2 exons. The record is from RefSeq and is a predicted model, not a curated record.
AUACAAAAGUUAUAACUCUAAAGGUUAAGCCGAUCGCUUAAUCCAUAACCCAAAGGUUCAAAGUACCAUAAAGAAGACCAUGAUUCUGUUUGGGCCAUUCGAAUUGUAUAUUUAACGAGCCCAAUAAUAACCACUACACAUCUUAUUAAAGCAUUCUCUAACCGAACCCUACCCUUCUCUCUGUCGAGGUAGGCGGAGUAGCAUCCCAGUGAUCUUCUGCAAAUGGGUAUAUUCUUCAAUGCUUAAUGUUUGAUCUUCUACACUCUUUCGUCAUCUUCAUCUUCGUGAUAUUAUUAUUAUGAACGGUCUACUGACAAUUUGGCGCUAUUUGCAGGAAUAUCCAGAGACUCGAUGCACAAGAGAAGGGCCACUGGUGGCAAGAAGAAGGCCUGGAGGAAGAAGCGAAAGUAUGAGCUCGGAAGACAGCCAGCAAACAC